CAGACAACCACACUCCCAUUCACACCCAGGGGAUAAUUUAGAAUAACCACCAAACCGGAGAAAUGUCAAGUUAUGGGGAGAAGCCAAAAGAGAGCAGACCCAGCAGCAGAUGACAGUUCUUUAUUUGAAACUGGAGAAGAAAAGCAGGAUCAGGUGAGUCAGCUUAGCCACCUUGUGCAGCUACCAGGAGGUGCAGGACUCUGUGGAGUGGAAACAGGGGAUCAGUGGCCAACGGGUUCUUUGUAAGAAUUUUCUGUUGCUUACUGUCAUGAAGAUAGACUAGUGGCUGGAAGGAAAGGAGUGGUGAUCUCCCCUCAGGAUGAGUGAACCAGAGGCACAGCAGGGGAAGGAGGGGGUUCUCCAAAGGGUGCGUGGAGGAAACUGGAGAAUUUUGUCCUUGAUCCAAAAGGCAGGUCCAAGAUGAAAGAGGGUCUGGCACACAGGAAUCCAAUUCACAGGGAAUGGGGUGAGGUACUCACAAAGGGACAGGCUGCACGGAUAAGUCGUGGAGAGCAGAAACAGGUCAGGUCAGGUCAGGAUAGAAUGAGUAGAUUUUCAGGUUUGCAGGUUCUCAGAAGCAGGUAGACAUUGUUGUUGAACACAGACGUUCCAGCAAGGCCAUGUUGUAGGUUUAAAUAAGCACAGUCACAGGUGACAGGUAUCAGUAGAAGAUUACCUUGAGGGGGUGAACCAGGGCAGACAUGUCAAGAAAUAGGAAACGUGAGAAGAAGCUGGAGCUUUAGGGUGUAUUCAGACUACACUCAUUUGGUUUUCUGAAUACACUCAAGCGGACCCUGGUCUGGGACCAGGAACUGCCCUCGGCCCCAUCUUUUCAGGGGGGCUUGGUUUGUUUCCAAUCAGACUGAGCUCCGGUUUGCUCUGAGUUUCCUCUGUCUGAAUAGAUUUUGUGCUGGAAGUGGAGCAACUGGACCAAGACGGGCACCGCAGCCUGUAAACGAGCCGCAAACAAACAUGGACCAACGAUGAGACACAGCUACUCAUUAAAAUGGUAGCUUCUUAGCUGUCAUCGCCUCAGUAACCGCCCUGCAGCACGCCUCCACCGGACCAAAGGCACAAAUCAAGGAUACUCAGGCUGUGUGGACCUGCGGCCUCCUCCUGAGCAAUGAGAGCAGGCACAGGAGAGCAGACAAGCAGGGGCUGCAUGUCUGUCUGGACUCCAGCAGCAGCAGAAAGACUCCUGCUGUUCAAACCAACAGAAAAGAGCAGUCACAGGGUGACUGGCUGGGAGAUGCUUGUUAGAAACUUCCCAGCCGUUUCUUAACUACAUCUCAAUCUCUUCCCUUCCACUUUUGUUUCUAAUAAAACAAAACAAAACCUUAAACAGCAUUGAUUCUCGUUGCUCCUGAAGUGUC
Molecule: long non-coding RNA, 1373 nt
Organism: Oryzias latipes (Japanese medaka)
Lineage: Eukaryota; Metazoa; Chordata; Actinopteri; Beloniformes; Adrianichthyidae
Source: RefSeq, a predicted model, not a curated record